This 292-nucleotide ribosomal RNA is filed under the name uncultured bacterium. Its description in RNAcentral is "partial 16S ribosomal RNA". It matches the Rfam family "Bacterial small subunit ribosomal RNA", at positions 505 to 796 of the family's 1533-position model. The record is from RNAcentral.
GUGCCAGCAGCCGCGGUAAUACGUAGGGGGCAAGCGUUGUCCGGAUUUAUUGGGCGUAAAGCGCUCGCAGGUGGUCCGUCACGUCGUGCGUGAAAUACCCCGGCUCAACUGGGGGGCGUCGUGCGAUACGGGCGGACUGGAGGCCAGUAGGGGGAUGCGGAAUUCCGGGUGUAGUGGUGGAAUGCGUAGAGAUCCGGAGGAACACCAGCGGCGAAGGCGGCAUCCUGGACUGGUCCUGACACUCAUGAGCGAAAGCGUGGGGAGCGAUCCGGAUUAGAUACCCUAGUAGUCC